Long non-coding RNA from Gopherus flavomarginatus (Mexican gopher tortoise), 1673 nucleotides. RefSeq lists it as uncharacterized. NCBI's taxonomy places the organism in Eukaryota, Metazoa, Chordata, Testudines, Testudinidae. The transcript has 2 exons. The record is from RefSeq and is a predicted model, not a curated record.
CUGUUCACCAGCUAUGAAGCACCGCUUGUGUAGCUGCCUCAAACCAUCCUCUUCUAAAGGACUUCCAAAUAAUUGUGAGCCCAGUCAUCAGGUGUGGUGCUGAAGAGGUUAGCACUCCUCCUCUACUUAUGCUACACUGAUGACAUCUUCAUCAUAUGGGCCCACGGGAAGGAGGCCAUUGAAGAAUUCAGUCUGGACCAGUCCACACAAGAGAUCCACUUCCUGGACACUACAGUGCAAAUGAGUGAUGGUCACAUAAACGCCACCCUAUACCGGAAACCUACUGACCGAUAUACUUACCUACAUGCCUCCAGCUUCCAUCCAGGACACUUCACAUGAUCCAUUGUCUACAGCCAAGCCCUAAGAUACAACCACAUUUGCUCCAAUCCCUCAGACAGAGACAAACACUUACAAGAUCUCUAUCAAGCAUUGUUAAAACUAUAAUACGCACCUGGGGAAGUGAGGAAACAGACUGACAGAGCAAGAUGUGUACCCAGAAGUCACCUACUACAGGACAGGCCCAUAAAGGAAAAUAACAGAACACCCCUGGCCAUAAUGUAUAGCCCGCAGCUAAAACCUCUCCAGCGCAUCAUCAACGAUCUACAACCUAUCUUGGAAAACUAUUCCCAAAUCUCACAGGCCUUGGGAGGCAGACCAAUCCUCAUUUACAGACAGCCUCCUAACCUGGCACAAAUACUCACCAGCAACUACACACCACACCACAGAAACACUAACCCAGGAACCAAUCCCUGUAACAAACCCUGUUGCCUACUCUGUCCUCAUAUCUACUCUAGCGACACCAUCAUAGGACCAAACCACACCAGCCACACCAUCAGGGGCUUAUUCACUUGCGCAUCUGCUAAUGUGAUAUAUACCAUCAUGUGCCAGCAAUGCCCUCUGUCAUGUACAUUGGCCAAACCGGACAGUCUCUAUGUAAAAUGAUAAAUGGACACAAAUCAGACAUCAGGAAUGGUACCACACAAAAGCCAGUAGGAGAACACUUCAAUCUCCCUGGACAUUCAAUAAUAGAUUUAAAAGUAGCCAUUCUUUGACAAAAAAAAAAAAACCCUUCAAAAACAGACUUCAAAGAGAAACAGCAGAGCUACAAUUCAUUUGCAAACUUAAUGCCAUCAGUUUGGGCUUGAAUAGGGACUGGGUGUGGUUGACUCACUACAAAAGCAAUUUUCCCUCUCUUGGUAUUGACACCUCCUCAUCAAUUAUUGGGAGUGGACCACAUCUUUCCUGACUGAAUUGGCCUUCAACUCCCUUCUCUUCAUAGGCCAAUAUAUAUCUAUGCCUGUAUCUGUAAUUAUCACUCCAUGCAUCUGAAGAAGUUUUUUUUUACUCAUGAAAGUUUAUGCCUGAAAACAUCUGCUAGUCUUUGAGGUGCCACCAGACUCCUCACUGUUUUUCAGUUUGGGUUUUGCAGUUUCUCUGGUCCUGGGACUGAAAGCUAGAUUCACGGAGUGUGAACUCACAAGAACUGAAACCUGAAUUAAACCCCCCCCCAUUGUUUGGUACAUUUCUGAAACCAAACUCUUCAUCAUGAGGGCAUUAAAGAAAUCAACAUCUUGUUCUCAAGGAGCAAAAAAAUCCAUCAAAUUGCCCCCAUCAACAACACCGGAUUUAUCAGUCAUUUCAUAUGUCAAUAAAAGGACAAUUUAAAAAAUAAA